Molecule: long non-coding RNA, 1980 nt
Organism: Athalia rosae (coleseed sawfly)
Lineage: Eukaryota; Metazoa; Arthropoda; Insecta; Hymenoptera; Athaliidae
Exons: 4
Source: RefSeq, a predicted model, not a curated record
GGAAUCAGUCCGAUCGAUUGAUUGAGUGGCUCGUCUCUGAAGAAAAAUCGCCUGAGAAAUUUCAAUACCGUUUCUUUGUCAUCACGGCCGAUCGUCCGGAGGUGGUAGUCCAUCACCCCUCCGCUGGAGUCGUUGUCGGCCAGCUGAAUAAAAUAUAGAAUGCGAUUUCAAGUAAGUUUUUCGAAUCGCGCGAUACCACCAUAUAUUUAACACUCACCCGCCACAUUUCUGUCAUAAUUAACUCCUUUAUUUGUCGCACACAUUUUACAGGGUAUAUUGUAUCUAUAUGUGUAUACCGUAUAUACCGAUUUAUCAACCCGUCACGUUGUAAACUGUGCGGGCAGAAAAUCUAACGAUUCAUUAAACAUGUCAUUAAAAUGUUGGACGUCACGUCGUACAAGACACUACUCUGUCCCGGCAUACGUCCGGUGGUGUAUAAUCUAGUUUAGUAGCAGCUACAAAAUUAUACUAAUCACAAGCGCGACCGCUGUCAGUUCUGAUUAAAUUAAUAUUCAUCACAGUUGUCGUUCGAUCGAUUCAUUACACUUUUCCGCACCGCGCGUACGUGCGCGGUAAGAAGUGUUUGAUUUAUGCGAACGAUUGAUUUUCGCAACCCCGACAUAACCUACGGCUUUCCAUUUUCAUUUCAUAUACUUCGUCUGUGAUUUGUUUUUUUUUUUACAGUUUCAGGAUAAUUAAUCGACUCGCCGCAGUCGCGUUUCGCACGAAACUUCUGCAUCGUUUUCUCCGUAGCGUACAUCAGAGUGUGCGUGUACGUAUGUACGUACGCAGCUGCGCGACCCACGGAAUCGACAGGAGAGAUUGAAAAGAGGGAUACGGAAAAAAUAGCUGCGUCGGGGAAGGAUAAUCCCGCGGUACACGGAGAACAGCGUAUGCUAAUUUCGUAAACCUCUGUUAAUCCCAUCGUUAAUCCCAUCGUUAAUCCCGUUGCAGAAGAAAUCUCCCACAGAUUCUGUGCACAUCGCAGAGAUCGAAACAAUCGUACCCCGGAUAUCGGAGAUCGCCGAUAAUUAGAGCCAUGUUAUAUCGAAAGGCAGUCGCGUCUCGAUGACGACCGGGGGGGAUUCGGCCUUCGAUCGUCAACGGACGUUCUUCUUACCGAGUAUCUGGAUAUCCUCGGAGCAUCCUUGGCGAAACCAGUUCGUCCUUUUUCAUUCUCUCUAUCGUCGAUCCUCGCGUUCUGAAUUUUCGAGAUGAGAAGGGCCUCCAUUUUAACGGUGCGGAAUCGACGACGCUCUCGCAGGCGAAAAAUAACCGACCAAUGUAACGACGGGCAACGGGCAAAAAAAAAGGCCAAUGCUCACGAAGAAGAUCGUAAAGCGCGUUUGCAAUUUUCUACGCUGGGAGAAUAGCAAAAGCUGAGAUUGGGCGUGCAACAAUGACAAAGAUGGAAGGAAGGAAGAGGAGAAUUGACGAAACGGAGAUGAGGAGGUGAAAAUUUUCGAGUCAAUGUAUACGUCACGUCGCAGAUUUCUUCUUUUGCGGCCCCCGCUGCACCGCAGGAGCGAAGAAGAAGGAGAAGAAGAAUUUGGAGAUCAUCUGAAAUAAGAAGGAAGAAGAAAAUUGCAGAAAAAGGAAAAAGAAAUGACGAAAUAUCUAAGAGGAAGAGGAACCGGAAGAGCUUGCGGUGGUAUAAAAAAAAGAAAAAGAAAGGAGACGCGAUUCGGACGGAAUAUCCUGCAAGAGGAAGAGGAAGCGGAAGAGCUUUAGGUGGUUAAAAAAAAAAUUAAGGACUUUUAUCUCAAUUCUCUCGUACGGUGUGGGAAAAAUUUCACGGGAGGCCGCUGCACCCCGUUGUCCAAGGGGCAUAUUUUCUCACAUCUCUUUUGUUUUUGCUCUUCCGAAGGUAUUCGAGAGCAAAGGAUUUACGACCUUCGUUCGCUGAUUUUAUUGAUAUAUACGGUGUGUAAUCGAAGCAAAAUCCCAACAAUUACGAUCGUUGUAAGGUUACGUUGCAGC